RNAcentral lists this small RNA (151 nucleotides) under Oceanobacillus oncorhynchi. RNAcentral's name for it is "Listeria sRNA rli38". It matches the Rfam family "Listeria sRNA rli38". The record is from Rfam by way of RNAcentral. Lineage: Bacteria; Bacillati; Bacillota; Bacilli; Caryophanales; Bacillaceae.
AUUGAGUGGGAAUAAGAAUACAACUUAAUUUGAAGAGGGAACACCGAUUUAAAGGCAUUUAUCUUACUCAAAUAUGUAGAAAAUGCAUUAAAAAUAAUAUGGUUCCCUACCAAAAUCCCUACCAAUAAAAAAUUUUGGUAGGGAAUUUUGU